This 301-nucleotide long non-coding RNA is filed under the name Ursus maritimus (polar bear). RNAcentral describes it as "lncRNA (ENSUMAG00000015155.1)". Lineage: Eukaryota; Metazoa; Chordata; Mammalia; Carnivora; Ursidae. The record is from RNAcentral.
CUGCUCCUUUCACUUUCUGAAGUCUGGCUGAGCUGAAGUUCAAGUGACCAGGACACAUGAUAUUUUGAAGAAGGCAAGGACUACUGUGUAGGUAAGGAAAUCACUGUGCCAGUCUGCAGCACAGAGCCAGCUGCAAACCCAUCCCCAUCUGUCUUGAGUCUGCAGGUGCUCCCCGACCUGCUCUGGAUUUCCAGGCCACUUGUAGGACACAGGCCCUCAGAAGCACUUCCUUUCCUGGGAGGUCACAAAAGCCAUCUUCUUCCUCCGAAGUGAAUUAGAGCGGCCCAUGCAGAGGGAGCGG